This 927-nucleotide long non-coding RNA is filed under the name Medicago truncatula (barrel medic). Its description in RNAcentral is "lncRNA gene27037". The record is from RNAcentral. Lineage: Eukaryota; Viridiplantae; Streptophyta; Magnoliopsida; Fabales; Fabaceae.
UGUAUCUGUAUCAGGAGCACAACAUAUUUGAAGAUAAAUAUGAAUGGGGGGAGACAAAUAAUUUGGGACAAUGAAAAAACUCAAAUUUACAGGUCUGCCUCUUUCACUAGCCUAAAAUCUUAAAACAAGGCAAUGAAGCAAGAGGCUGAUCCGAUCCAAUUGUAUUUCAAUGAAAUAACGAUCAAAUCAUCGCGCAGAAGCUCUGGAAUCUCUCUCUCCCCCUUUAGUGGUUGGGCCGAUGAUGGUUGCGUUAGAUGCAGAAGGGUCAUGACCACUGCAGCACUAACAGUCAGACUUGUUCAGUCACCAAUCCAAACUAACAAAGGAAAAACUUAAAUAUGUCGGUCAGUGAUAUGAUGCCUUCAACUCGCUUGCUGCCAGCUUCAACAAUAACAAGCCGCCGGACACCUGAGUCCAAGUCAAGAGGGCAUAAAAUUUUAAGCACUGCGGUCGUUGAAAUAAACUGAACUGGAUAUCCAAGAAGAAAGAAAGAAAAAAAAACUGGUGCUAAACCGAAUCAACAAAAAGUGACACUUAUGGGUUCGACAAUUUUAGUCAAUUUUGCUUAGGUUUUAAGAUUUAGGAGAGAAGAGCUGUUUCAGAAAAUAGCAAACAACACUCUAGCGUGGAGCAAGAAUCUACAAAGUGUAUGCCUAUUUACUUCGUGAUAACAUUUUCUAUUUUCAUUUGAAGCUGUGUUAACUUCACUAGCUAACAAGGAGAUGAUAGAGUCUUAAGUGAAAAUUUGUGUGCAUAUUUUAGAAACAAUGGAAAUGCCAAAAGAAUUGUUUUAAUUAUUUCGAGAGAUGCAUCAUCUCUAGCUAACAUUUCAUCUACUCUCCAUUACAAUAGUUCACUUCAAGAGUCUCACAUCUUCUUGUUAGCAAGUUAAAAUGAACAUGUUUUAAAAAUUGUUUUCGCAUAUUA